Molecule: ribosomal RNA, 367 nt
Filed under: uncultured bacterium
Lineage: Bacteria
Description: bacterial SSU rRNA
Rfam family: Bacterial small subunit ribosomal RNA
Source: RNAcentral
GGAGGGUGCAAGCGUUAUCCGGAUUCACUGGGUUUAAAGGGUGCGUAGGUGGCUUUGUAAGUCAGUGGUGAAAUCUUAGAGCUUAACUCUAAAACUGCCAUUGAUACUGCUUAGCUUGAAUCAAGUCGAGGUGGAUGGAAUAUUACAUGUAGCGGUGAAAUGCUUAGAUAUGUAAUAGAACACCGAUUGCGAAGGCAGUUCACUAGGCUUGUAUUGACACUGAGGCACGAAAGCGUGGGGAUCAAACAGGAUUAGAUACCCUGGUAGUCCACGCCCUAAACGAUGUAAACUCGACAUUAGCGAUAUACAGUUAGUGUCCAAGCGAAAGCGUUAAGUUUACCACCUGGGAAGUACGACCGCAAGGUUG